GCAAGAACUGCUGUGGAGGUGCUGCAUGGCUGUCGUCAGCUCGUGUCGUGAGAUGUUGGGUUAAGUCCCGCAACGAGCGCAACCCUUAUCGUUAGUUGCCAUCAGGUCAAGCUGGGCACUCUAGCGAAACCGCCCCGGAUAACGGGGAGGAAGGUGGGGAUGACGUCAAGUCCUCAUGGCCUUUAUGUCCAGGGCUACACACGUGCUACAAUGGUCGGUACAAACCGUCGCAAACCUGCGAAGGGGAGCUAAUCGGAAAAAGCCGGCCUCAGUUCGGAUUGGAGUCUGCAACUCGACUCCAUGAAGCUGGAAUCGCUAGUAAUCGCGGAUCAGCACGCCGCGGUGAAUACGUUCCCGGGCCUUGUACACACCGCCCGUCACAUCACGAAAGUGGACUGCACUAGAAGCCGGUGAGCCAACCGCAAGGGGGCAGCCGUCCAAGGUAUGA
Molecule: ribosomal RNA, 448 nt
Filed under: uncultured Acidobacteriota bacterium
Lineage: Bacteria; Pseudomonadati; Acidobacteriota
Description: bacterial SSU rRNA
Rfam family: Bacterial small subunit ribosomal RNA
Source: RNAcentral